This is a small nucleolar RNA of Malus domestica (apple), 78 nucleotides long. The record is from RefSeq and is a predicted model, not a curated record. Lineage: Eukaryota; Viridiplantae; Streptophyta; Magnoliopsida; Rosales; Rosaceae.
AUAGAUGAUGAAGUCAGCACUGGGCUCUGAGUACAUUUGAUGCACAAAUAAUGCAGCCUAGAAAGCUAUUUCUGAUAU